This 57-nucleotide transfer RNA is filed under the name Loxodonta africana (African savanna elephant). It matches the Rfam family "tRNA", at positions 8 to 63 of the family's 71-position model. From Rfam's summary of the family: Transfer RNA (tRNA) molecules are approximately 80 nucleotides in length. Their secondary structure includes four short double-helical elements and three loops (D, anti-codon, and T loops). The record is from Rfam by way of RNAcentral. Lineage: Eukaryota; Metazoa; Chordata; Mammalia; Proboscidea; Elephantidae.
UAGCAUAGUGGUUAAGAGUUUGGCUGCUAACCAAAAGGUUGGUGGUUCAAAUUCACC